Molecule: long non-coding RNA, 1164 nt
Organism: Anolis carolinensis (green anole)
Lineage: Eukaryota; Metazoa; Chordata; Lepidosauria; Squamata; Anolidae
Exons: 2
Source: RefSeq, a predicted model, not a curated record
UCAGACAACUGUACUCAACAGUAGACAGUGUCUAGAUUAGUUCGGCAAAGAAAUAAGCCACGGCUCUGCAGGGUAUCAACUCAGCUAUUAAAAAUUACAGAUGAACAAGGAUCUCGGGGGGGGGGGGGAGUGUCAGGUUGGUGAGCUUUAAAAAUUAAAAACAAAAUACAAAGCCAUACAGACUGGAUGUUUAACCUGUAAGGAAAUCUGUCACGUCCUUGAGGAAGCUCCAGUGAGAAAAGAUCAAUAGAAUGCCUACUGGCUCCAUUAGCUUGAUGUAAAAAGGGGAAGAGAUAUACCAGCUAUUCCAGGAGAGGAGCUACAUUAUUCCAGGGAUUAUACAGGAUCAGAUCUCUCCUUUUUUUUGCAGAAAAAGACAACGAACGGAGAGAGAGAAAAGGAAGACCUCUGGUGGGCCAGAUCUGGAGUGAAAGGGCUUGUCAGAAAUUGUUUUCUAGGAAGUUGCCUCAAACCAAAAUCACAUUUGGAUACACACAAAAAGUUGACAUAUGUUUGGAUCAUGGCCAUGGUGUUUGAACCCUUCUUCUCUCAUCCUCCAUUUGGUUUACCCAAAGAAGAAACAUGGCUCAAGAAACAUUUAAACUGGAGAAUUCCCCAACAUUCUUAACUGAGGAGAAGGGAAAGUAGUAGCAGUGGAACACAUCAACAAGAAGAAAACAGAUAUGAUGAGACAGCCUGGAGAUGAGAUCCUGCAAGGAUAGUUUCAAGGCAUUAAACAUGUUUUGUCCUGGAGAAGGGAUGCUUGAAAGGCAGCUACUUUCAAUGUGCCAAUUAGUUUUGGAGCUUUGUUCUGAUAUUACCAUGGCUCCCAAAGAUAAGGUUCAAAUCAAAAUAUUCAGAUUGCAAGAAAGGGAUUUUUUAUGCUAAAUGGUGAGAAGAUUUUCAGGUCACAGAUUGCAUGAGAAAGUGUCAGAGUGUCCCUUGAAAGACUUUUUAAGCAUUGUGUAGCAGGCCAUCUAAAAGAGAUUCUGUAUCAUGUGAUUUCCUGUGUUGACAAGGAGUUGAACAUGACCUUUGCAGUCCUUUCCAACUUUAUGAUUUAAAGCAGUAAUCUUAUGUAUUACUUCAGAAAUCCAUCCAGUUACAAUAGUAGGACAGUGUUUUAUCCCAUGUUACACACAAUAAACUGUUUCCUUCCCUCUA